GACGAACGCUGGCGGCGUGCUUAACACAUGCAAGUCGAACGGAAAGGCCCUGCUUUUGUGGGGUGCUCGAGUGGCGAACGGGUGAGUAACACGUGAGUAACCUGCCCUUGACUUUGGGAUAACUUCAGGAAACUGGGGCUAAUACCGGAUAGGAGCUCCUGCUGCAUGGUGGGGGUUGGAAAGUUUCGGCGGUUGGGGAUGGACUCGCGGCUUAUCAGCUUGUUGGUGGGGUAGUGGCUUACCAAGGCUUUGACGGGUAGCCGGCCUGAGAGGGUGACCGGCCACAUUGGGACUGAGAUACGGCCCAGACUCCUACGGGAGGCAGCAGUGGGGAAUAUUGCACAAUGGGCGGAAGCCUGAUGCAGCAACGCCGCGUGCGGGAUGACGGCCUUCGGGUUGUAAACCGCUUUCGCCUGUGACGAAGCGUGAGUGACGGUAAUGGGUAAAGAAGCACCGGCUAACUACGUGCCAGCAGCCGCGGUGAUACGUAGGGUGCGAGCGUUGUCCGGAUUUAUUGGGCGUAAAGGGCUCGUAGGUGGUUGAUCGCGUCGGAAGUGUAAUCUUGGGGCUUAACCCUGAGCGUGCUUUCGAUACGGGUUGACUUGAGGAAGGUAGGGGAGAAUGGAAUUCCUGGUGGAGCGGUGGAAUGCGCAGAUAUCAGGAGGAACACCAGUGGCGAAGGCGGUUCUCUGGGCCUUUCCUGACGCUGAGGAGCGAAAGCGUGGGGAGCGAACAGGCUUAGAUACCCUGGUAGUCCACGCUGUAAACGGUGGGUACUAGGUGUGGGGUCCAUUCCACGGGUUCCGUGCCGUAGCUAACGCUUUAAGUACCCCGCCUGGGGAGUACGGCCGCAAGGCUAAAACUCAAAGGAAUUGACGGGGCCCCGCACAAGCGGCGGAGCAUGCGGAUUAAUUCGAUGCAACGCGUAGAACCUUACCUGGGUUUGACAUGGAUCGGGAGCGCUCAGAGAUGGGUGUGCCUCUUUUGGGGUCGGUUCACAGGUGGUGCAUGGCUGUCGUCAGCUCGUGUCGUGAGAUGUUGGGUUAAGUCCCGCAACGAGCGCAACCCUUGUUCACUGUUGCCAGCACGUUAUGGUGGGGACUCAGUGGAGACCGCCGGGGUCAACUCGGAGGAAGGUGGGGAUGACGUCAAGUCAUCAUGCUCCUUAUGUCCAGGGCUUCACGCAUGCUACAAUGGCUGGUACAGAGAGUGGCGAGCCUGUGAGGGUGAGCGAAUCUCGGAAAGCCGGUCUCAGUUCGGAUUGGGGUCUGCAACUCGACCUCAUGAAGUCGGAGUCGCUAGUAAUCGCAGAUCAGCAACGCUGCGGUGAAUACGUUCCCGGG
This 1343-nucleotide ribosomal RNA is filed under the name uncultured bacterium. Its description in RNAcentral is "16S ribosomal RNA". It matches the Rfam family "Bacterial small subunit ribosomal RNA", at positions 28 to 1378 of the family's 1533-position model. The record is from RNAcentral.